UAAAGAAGAGGCGCAUUACUCAGGUAAAUUAUUUUAGGUUCUGGUACUUGUUAUAAAUAAUUGAGGGGAUGUAAUGCCGAGGUUUGGUUAAACUUCCAGAAAUUAACCAGAUCGACUACAAGGGCUGAAUCCCUUGGGUUGUCACCUAAGCAGGUGGAGCGCUUCCCGG
RNAcentral lists this non-coding RNA (169 nucleotides) under Gilliamella apicola. Its description in RNAcentral is "Lysine riboswitch". It matches the Rfam family "Lysine riboswitch aptamer". Rfam says of the family: Riboswitches are metabolite binding domains within certain messenger RNAs that serve as precision sensors for their corresponding targets. Allosteric rearrangement of mRNA structure is mediated by ligand binding, and this results in modulation of gene expression. This family includes riboswitches that sense lysine in a number of genes involved in lysine metabolism, including lysC. The record is from RNAcentral. Lineage: Bacteria; Pseudomonadati; Pseudomonadota; Gammaproteobacteria; Orbales; Orbaceae.